GACGAACGCUGGCGGCGUGCCUAAUACAUGCAAGUCGAGCGGACUUGAUGAGAAGCUUGCUUCUCUGAGAGUUAGCGGCGGACGGGUGAGUAACACGUAGGCAACCUGCCUGUAAGGCUGGGAUAACUACCGGAAACGGUAGCUAAUACCGGAUAGGUGAUUUUCUCGCAUGAGGAAGUCAAGAAAGACGGAGCAAUCUGUCACUUACGGAUGGGCCUGCGGCGCAUUAGCUAGUUGGUGAGGUAAUGGCUCACCAGGGCGACGAUGCGUAGCCGACCUGAGAGGGUGAACGGCCACACUGGGACUGAGACACGGCCCAGACUUCUACGGGAGGCAGCAGUAGGGAAUCUUCCGCAAUGGACGAAAGUCUGACGGAGCAACGCCGCGUGAGUGAUGAAGGUUUUCGGAUCGUAAAGCUCUGUUGCCAGGGAAGAACGUCUUAGAGAGUAACUGCUCUAAGAGUGACGGUACCUGAGAAGAAAGCCCCGGCUAACUACGUGCCAGCCGCCGCCGUAA
This 516-nucleotide ribosomal RNA is filed under the name uncultured bacterium. Its description in RNAcentral is "partial 16S ribosomal RNA". It matches the Rfam family "Bacterial small subunit ribosomal RNA", at positions 28 to 523 of the family's 1533-position model. The record is from RNAcentral.